Molecule: long non-coding RNA, 393 nt
Filed under: Apteryx owenii (little spotted kiwi)
Lineage: Eukaryota; Metazoa; Chordata; Aves; Apterygiformes; Apterygidae
Description: lncRNA (ENSAOWG00000003060.1)
Source: RNAcentral
AAAGAAGCCAGUGCAGUGAGCAAGAGUCUCCUUGAACUCCUGCAUCAAGCUUGGACAGAGGACCAGAAUUACUCAUGAACAAAGUGUUAAAUGCUUCCUAUAUAACUCUUUUGUGAGGCUGAAGUAUAUACUUAUUCAGUUUUCAUCUUCAUCAUAUUGAUGAAUUUGGACAAAACCUGCUUACCUCCAGCCAUUGUUUUGGAAAGGGCACAUACUGGUAGCAGACGGCCUUAUUGAACACUGCUGUCCUUCAGGAUGUUCCUGGAAGAGGAUGUUACUAUAAAGCUGCACAGAAGGCCUGCUGUACUGCUGUCUAUAAUUCCUUGUUACUGCUUUCUUCAUGAUUUCUUCCCUUGGGAUUUAAAGAUUUUGUUUCACAAGAUGCAGAACUAA